Molecule: ribosomal RNA, 459 nt
Filed under: Carchesium polypinum
Lineage: Eukaryota; Ciliophora; Oligohymenophorea; Sessilida; Vorticellidae
Description: eukaryotic LSU rRNA
Rfam family: Eukaryotic large subunit ribosomal RNA
Source: RNAcentral
CUGAAAUAAGCAAGAUUACCCGCUGAACUUAAGCAUAUCAGUAAGCGGAGGAAAAGAAAAUAACAAUGAUUACCUCAGUAGCGGCGAGUGAAGAGGUACAAGCCCAAGAUGUUAAUCCGUAGUAAGGCUAUGGAAUUGUAAUCUAUAGAAUUUCUCAGAAGGUAUUGAUUCGUCAUAAGUUCUUUGGAACAAGACACCANAGAGGGUGAAAGUCCCGUCUUUGGAUGAGUCAAGCCGUAUGAGGGGUUUCUAAGAGUCGGGUAGUUUGGGAAUGCUGCCCUAAGNGGGAGAUAAACUUCUCCUAAGGCUAAAUAUAAGAUAGGAGACCGAUAGCAUACAAGUACUGCGAAGGAAAGAUGAAAAGAACUUUGAAAAGAGGGUUAAAAGACUUGAAAUCGUUGAAAAGGAAGCAGUAAAAGAGAAAUUAUAGCNUGCNAAUUAAGCUAUUAGCGUAAGCUU